AGAGUUUGAUUCUGGCUCAGAUUGAACGCUGGCGGCAUGGCUAAAACAUGCAAGUCGAAUGUGAAGGGAGCAAUCCCUGAAAAUGGCGAAAGGGCGAGUAAUAUAUUUCUAACGUACCCCGGACUCGACAAUAGUUCGCCGAAAGGUGAGGUAAUAGUCGAUGAUGCUGCUGGGCUGUAUGGCCUGGUUGCCAAAGGUUUACUGGUCUGGGAGCGGGGAAUAUCCUAUCAGGUAGUUGGUGAGGUAAUGGCUCACCAAGCCUAAGACGGGUAGCGGGUGUGAGAGCACGGCCCGCCGCAUCGGGACUGAGACACUGCCCGGACUCCUACGGGAGGCUGCAGUAACGAAUAUUCCGCAAUGCGCGAAAGCGUGACGGAGCGAUGCCGCGUGCAGGAUGAAGCCCCUCGGGGUGUAAACUGCUGUCAGGGUAUAGCAAACAAAUGUGCAAACCCAAAGGAAGAGACGGCUAACUCUGUGCCAGCAGCCGCGGUAAUACAGAGGUCUCGAGCGUUAAUCGGAGUCACUGGGCUUAAAGGGUGCGUAGGCGGGUCUGUAAGUGUCUUGUGAAAUCCCACAGCUCAACUGUGGAAUUGCUCGAUAGACUAUGGACCUUGAGGUUGGUAGGGGUCGCUGGAACUCUAGGUGGAGCGGUGAAAUGCGUAGAUAUCUAGAGGAACGCCGAAGGUGAAGACAAGCGACUGGGCCAAUUCUGACGCUGAGGCACGAAAGCGUGGGGAGCAAACGGGAUUAGAUACCCCGGUAGUCCACGCCCUAAACUAUGUACACUAGAUCGCAGAGGCUCUGACGCCGUUGUGGUCGAAGAAAAAUUGUUAAGUGUACCGCCUGGGGAGUACGGUCGCAAGGCUAAAACUCAAAGAAAUUGACGGGGGCUCACACAAGCGGUGGAGCAUGUGGCUCAAUUCGAAGCAACGCGAAGAACCUUAUCCUAGGCUUGACAUGUAUGGAUUAGAUCCUGGAAACAGGGUUGAGGCCCUUUGGGUACAACAUACACAGGUGCUGCAUGGCUGUCGUCAGCUCGUGCUGUGAAGUGUCGGGUUAAGUCCCUUAACGAGCGAAACCCCUAUCGUCAGUUGCCAACAGGUUAUGCUGGGGACUCUAGCGAGACUGCCGGUGUCAAACCGGAGGAAGGUGGGGAUGACGUCAAGUCCUCAUGGCCCUUACGCCUAGGGCUGCACACGUGCUACAGUGGCGUAUACAAAGCGAAGCGAGACCGCAAGGUGGAGCAAAUCGCAAAAAAUACGCCUCAGUACAGAUUGUGGUCUGCAACCCGACCACAUGAAGUUGGAAUCGCUAGUAAUCGGGGAUCAGCUACGCCCCGGUGAAUAUGUUCCUGAGCCUUGUACACACCGCCCGUCAAGUCAAGGGAGCCGGUAAUACCCAAAGUCGCCCUAAUUCAAGGGUGCCAACGGUAGGAUCGGUGACUGGGACUAAGUCGGAACAAGGUAGCCGUAGGGGAACCUGCGGCUG
RNAcentral lists this ribosomal RNA (1488 nucleotides) under metagenome. Its description in RNAcentral is "bacterial SSU rRNA". It matches the Rfam family "Bacterial small subunit ribosomal RNA". The record is from RNAcentral.